GACGAACCGUGCGAACGUUGUUCGGAUUCACUGGGCUUAAAGGGCGCGUAGGCGGACCGCCAAGUCGGGGGUGAAAUCUUCCAGCCCAACUGGAAAACAGCUCCCGAUACUGGCGGCCUGGAGGGGGGUAGGGGUGCGUGGAACUCAGGGUGGAGCGGUGAAAUGCGUAGAUAUCCCGAGGAACGCCGGUGGCGAAAGCGACGCACUGGACCUUUCUUGACGCUGAGGCGCGAAAGCCAGGGGAGCAAACGGG
This 253-nucleotide ribosomal RNA is filed under the name uncultured bacterium. Its description in RNAcentral is "partial 16S ribosomal RNA". It matches the Rfam family "Bacterial small subunit ribosomal RNA", at positions 524 to 776 of the family's 1533-position model. The record is from RNAcentral.